AAACCAGCUAUAAUCUACUUGAUCUUGACAUAUAUCUACUUGGAUAACUGUGGUAAUUCUAGAGCUAAUACAUGCACAAAUUCUCUGACCUUGCGGGAAGAGCGCAUUUAUUAGAGCAAAACCAGGCGGCUUCGGUCGUUUUUUGCUGACUCAGAAUAACUCAGCUGAUCGCACGGUCCUUGUACCGGCGACGUGUCUUUUGAGUAUCUGCCUUAUCAAUUUUCGAUGGUAGUGUAUCUGACUACCAUGGUUUUGACGGGUAACGGAGAAUCAGGGUUCGACUCCGGAGAAGGGGCCUGAGAAAUGGCCACUACGUCUAAGGAUGGCAGCAGGCGCGCAAAUUACCCACUCUCGGAAUGAGGAGGUAGUGACGAGAAAUAACGAGACCGUUCUCUUUGAGGCCGGUUAUCGGAAUGGGUACAAUUUAAACCCUUUAACGAGUAUCUAUGAGAGGGCAAGUCUGGUGCCAGCAGCCGCGGUAAUUCCAGCUCUCAAAAUGCAUAGAACCAUUGCUGCGGUUAAAAAGCUCGUAGUUGAAUCUAUGCCUGAGGCUUGGUCCACUCUUUGAGUGCGUACUAGGUUCUUUGGCUUUUCGUCGGUUUUCUUGUCGUGGCCUUUAUUGGUGGCGGCAAGUGGCUGACAAUUUUACUUUGAACAAAUCAGAGUGCUUAAAACAGGCGUCUCGCUUGUAUGCUUUUGCAUAGAAUAAUGGAACACGACUUCGGUCUAGUUUUAUUGGUUUUAUAGAUCGUUGUAAUGAUUAAAAGAGACAAACGGGGGCAUUCGUAUUGUUGCGUGAGAGGUGAAAUUCUUGGACCGCAGCAAGACGACCUACAGCGAAAGCAUUUGCCAAGCUUGUCUUCAUUAAUCAAGAACGAAAGUCAGAGGAUCGAAGGUGAUCAGAUACCGCCCUAGUUCUGACCGUAAACGAUGCCAACUAGCGAUUCGCCGGCGGAUUAUUUGCCCUGGCGAGGAGCUUCCCGGAAACGAAAGUCUUCCGGUUCCGGGGGAAGUAUGGUUGCAAAGCUGAAACUUAAAGGAAUUGACGGAAGGGCACCACCAGGAGUGGAGCCUGCGGCUUAAUUUGACUCAACACGGGAAAACUCACCCGGCCCGGACACUAUAAGGAUUGACAGAUUGAUAGCUCUUUCAUGAUUUGGUGGAUGGUGGUGCAUGGCCGUUCUUAGUUCGUGGAGUGAUUUGUCUGGUUUAUUCCGAUAACGAGCGAGACUCUAGCCUACUAAAUAGUCUGCUCAUUGCUAUUGUGUGGCAGUACUUCCUAGAGGAAUUUUCGGUGUUUAACCGCAUGAAAUUGAGCAAUAACAGGUCUGUGAUGCCCUUAGAUGUCCGGGGCUGCACGCGCGCUACACUGGUAAAGUCAGCGUGCGUCUCCUUUCUCGAAAGAGAUUGGUAAACCAGUGAACGUUUGCCGUGAUAGGGAUCGGAAAUUGCAAUUAUUUUCUGUGAACGAGGAAUUCCAAGUAAAUGUGAGUCAUCAACUCGCGUUGAUUACGUCCCUGCCCUUUGUACACACCGCCCGUCGCUGCCCGGGACUGAGCCAUUUCGAGAAAAUUGGGGAUUGCUGACUGACGGUUCUUCGGGAUUGUCUUUUGGUGAAAACCAGCUUAAUCGUAGUGGCUUGAACCGGGCAAAAGUCGUAACAAGGUGGCUGUAGGUGAACCUGCUGCCGGAUCAUUA
RNAcentral lists this ribosomal RNA (1698 nucleotides) under Deladenus siricidicola. RNAcentral's name for it is "partial 18S ribosomal RNA". It matches the Rfam family "Eukaryotic small subunit ribosomal RNA". The record is from RNAcentral. Lineage: Eukaryota; Metazoa; Nematoda; Chromadorea; Rhabditida; Sphaerulariidae.